UACAGAGGGGGCAAGCGUUGUUCGGAAUUACUGGGCGUAAAGGGCGCGUAGGCGGCCUGCUAAGUCAGACGUGAAAUCCCCCGGCUUAACCUGGGAACUGCGUCUGAUACUGGACGGCUUGAGUAUGGGAGAGGGAUGUAGAAUUCCAGGUGUAGCGGUGAAAUGCGUAGAUAUCUGGAGGAAUACCGGUGGCGAAGGCGGCAUCCUGGACCAUUACUGACGCUGAGGCGCGAAAGCUAGGGGAGCAAACGGG
Molecule: ribosomal RNA, 253 nt
Filed under: uncultured bacterium
Lineage: Bacteria
Description: partial 16S ribosomal RNA
Rfam family: Bacterial small subunit ribosomal RNA
Source: RNAcentral